CGAGUGCAGCCCCGAUACACAUACAUAGAAGUAUAUUAAUUUGGCUAAUUUCUGUAAUAUCGUUUAAUGUUUUUUGGAAACGCUCGUUCUUGGGACAUUCUGAGGAAAGUUUCAUGGCCUCUCCACGUUUCAAGGCACCAUUAAUCCGGUUGUCUAUAUGUCAAGCCAUGUCCACCGGAGUUGCUCCGCUGUCAAGCCACAUUGCCUAGCCAUCUUUAAUCCGUUGUCACAAAGUCUGCAAACCCUAAAACAGAAAUCCCCACAUCUUGAUGAUCUUGCUGCGAAUCCGACUCUACAGAAAAAGAUAAUGAUCUUCCUGACACCUGUUUUGUGAAGCCGUCAAAGCCGACCAAGAUUCAUCCAUGAUUCCAGACACCUCAUAUAGACGCAAUAGAGACGAAACACGAUUGUUGCCAUCUAAUUUGAAUAUUCAUGUCAAAACUUUGACCUUAUUUAAAUAUUCAUGUCAAAACUUCGACGUAG
Molecule: long non-coding RNA, 483 nt
Organism: Pecten maximus
Lineage: Eukaryota; Metazoa; Mollusca; Bivalvia; Pectinida; Pectinidae
Exons: 3
Source: RefSeq, a predicted model, not a curated record